This 337-nucleotide unclassified non-coding RNA is filed under the name soil metagenome. RNAcentral describes it as "partial contains 5.8S ribosomal RNA, internal transcribed spacer 2, and large subunit ribosomal RNA". The stretch from base 1 to 120 matches the Rfam family "5.8S ribosomal RNA", at positions 35 to 154 of the family's 154-position model. The record is from RNAcentral.
GAUGAAGAACGCAGCGAAAUGCGAUAAGUAGUGUGAAUUGCAGAAUUCAGUGAAUCAUCGAAUCUUUGAACGCACAUUGCGCCCCUUGGUAUUCCAUGGGGCAUGCCUGUUCGAGCGUCAUUUGUACCUUCAAGCUUUGCUUGGUGUUGGGUGUUUGUCUCGCCUUUGCGUGUAGACUCGCCUUAAAACAAUUGGCAGCCGGCGUAUUGAUUUCGGAGCGCAGUACAUCUCGCGCUUUGCACUCAUAACGACGACGUCCAAAAGUACAUUUUUACACUCUUGACCUCGGAUCAGGUAGGGAUACCCGCUGAACUUAAGCAUAUCAAUAAGCGGAGGA